GUAGGGAAUCUUCCGCAAUGGACGCAAGUCUGACGGAGCAACGCCGCGUGAGUGAUGAAGGUUUUCGGAUCGUAAAGCUCUGUUGCCCUAGACGAACAGCAAGGAGAGUAACUGCUCUUUGUGUGACGGUAUAGGAGAAGAAAGCCCCGGCUAACUACGUGCCAGCAGCCGCGGUAAUACGUAGGGGGCAAGCGUUGUCCGGAAUUAUUGGGCGUAAAGCGCGCGCAGGCGGUCAAUUAAGUUGGGUGUUUAAGCCCGGGGCUCAACCCCGGUUCGCAUCCAAAACUGGUUGACUUGAGUGUAGGAGAGGAAAGUGGAAUUCCACGUGUAGCGGUGAAAUGCGUAGAGAUGUGGAGGAACACCAGUGGCGAAGGCGACUUUCUGGCCUAUAACUGACGCUGAGGCGCGAAAGCGUGGGGAGCAAACAGGAUUAGAAACCCUAGUAGUCC
This 449-nucleotide ribosomal RNA is filed under the name uncultured bacterium. Its description in RNAcentral is "bacterial SSU rRNA". It matches the Rfam family "Bacterial small subunit ribosomal RNA", at positions 354 to 796 of the family's 1533-position model. The record is from RNAcentral.